AUUGAACGCUGGCGGCAGGCCUAACACAUGCAAGUCGAGCGGAGGAAGGGAGCUUGCUCCUGGAUUCAGCGGCGGACGGGUGAGUAAUGCCUAGCAAUCUGCCUGGUAGUGUGGGAUAACGUCCCGGAACGGGCGCUCAUACCGCAUACGGCCUGAGGGAGAAAGAGGGGGCCCUUCGGACCCCACGCUAUCAGAUUCGCCUAGGUCGGCUGAGCUAGUCGGUGGGGUAAAGGCAUACCAAGGCGACUAUCCGUAACUGGUCUGAGAGGCUGAUCAGUCACAGUAGAACCGAGACACGGUCGCGACUCCUACAGGAGGAAGCAGUGGGGAAUAUUCGACGCUGGGCGAAAGGCUGCUGCAGCAAUGCCGCGUGUGGGAAGAAGGUCUUCGGAUUGUAAAGCACUUUAAGUUGGGAGGAAGGGAAGUAAGUUACUACCUUGCUGUUUUGACGUUACCACCAGAAUAAGCACCGGCUAACUUCGUG
This 484-nucleotide ribosomal RNA is filed under the name uncultured bacterium. Its description in RNAcentral is "partial 16S ribosomal RNA". It matches the Rfam family "Bacterial small subunit ribosomal RNA", at positions 30 to 507 of the family's 1533-position model. The record is from RNAcentral.